This 528-nucleotide ribosomal RNA is filed under the name uncultured bacterium. RNAcentral describes it as "bacterial SSU rRNA". It matches the Rfam family "Bacterial small subunit ribosomal RNA", at positions 982 to 1509 of the family's 1533-position model. The record is from RNAcentral.
CGACAUGCCACUAACGAAGCAGAGAUGCAUUAGGUGCCCUAAGGGGAAAGUGGACACAGGUGCUGCAUGGCUGUCGUCAGCUCGUGUCGUGAGAUGUUGGGUUAAGUCCGCAACGAGCGCAACCCUUGCCAUUAAUUGCCAUCAUUUAGUUGGGCACUUUAAUGGGACUGCCGGUGACAAACCGGAGGAAGGUGGGGAUGACGUCAAGUCCUCAUGGCCCUUAUGGCCAGGGCUUCACACGUAAUACAAUGGUCGGUACAGAGAGUUGCCAAGCCGCGAGGUGGAGCUAAUCUCAGAAAGCCGAUCGUAGUCCGGAUUGUUCUCUGCAACUCGAGAGCAUGAAGUCGGAAUCGCUAGUAAUCGCGGAUCAGCAUGUCGCGGUGAAUACGUUCCCGGGCCUUGUACACACCGCCCGUCACACCAUGGGAGUGGGUUUUACCAGAAGUAGUUAGUCUAACCGUAAGGGGGACGAUUACCACGGUAGUAUUCAUGACUGGGGUGAAGUCGUAACAAGGUAAGCGUAGUGCU